This 301-nucleotide ribosomal RNA is filed under the name uncultured bacterium. RNAcentral describes it as "partial 16S ribosomal RNA". It matches the Rfam family "Bacterial small subunit ribosomal RNA", at positions 509 to 807 of the family's 1533-position model. The record is from RNAcentral.
CAGCAGCCGCGGUAAUACAGAGGAUGCAAGCGUUAUCCGGAAUGAUUGGGCAUAAAGCGUCUGUAGGUGGCUUUUCAAGUCCACCGUCAAAUCCCCGGGCUCAACCCUGGACAGGCAGUGGAAACUACCAAGCUGGAGUACGGUAGGGACAGAGGGAAUUUCCGGUGGAGCGGUGAAAUUCGUUGAGAUUGGAAAGAACACCAACGGCGAAAGCACUCUGCUGGGCCGACACUGACACUGAGAGACGAAAGCUAGGGGAGCAAAUGGGAUUAGAUACCCCUGUAGUCCCUGUCUCUUAUAC